Long non-coding RNA from Ictalurus punctatus (channel catfish), 385 nucleotides. Lineage: Eukaryota; Metazoa; Chordata; Actinopteri; Siluriformes; Ictaluridae. The record is from Ensembl.
CUGGAGCUGUGAGACAGAAACUCUACUGGUAUGCACAGUGGAUUAGUGGUUACUACGUUUGCCUUGCACUGCCAGGAGUUGGGGGUUUGAAUCCCAUCUCCGUCCUGUGUGAGCAGAGUUUGCAGGUUCUCCCUGCACUUCAGGAGAUUCCCCAGGGUACUCUGGUUUCCUCCUCCUGUCCGUGGACAUGCAUGUGAAGAAGACAAGUUAAACUGUUACAACAUCGUAUCUGAAAGAAAAUGACUCGGGCUCGAACUGAUACGGUAAAACCGACGACAUUAUUAACUAUGUUUAUAAUUGCUUUAGAGGCCUUGGAAGCUGAAGCUCGUGAUUACGGUAAGAGGCGUUAAAUUUCUGACACACACAAAGUUUUUGCCCACUCACA